GUCGAACGAUGAAGCCCAGCUUGCUGGGUGGAUUAGUGGCGAACGGGUGAGUAACACGUGAGUAACCUGCCCUUGACUCUAGGAUAAGCCCGGGAAACUGGGUCUAAUACUGGAUAGGAACGUCUACCGCAUGGUGGAUGUUGGAAAGAAUUUCGGUCAUGGAUGGACUCGCGGCCUAUCAGCUUGUUGGUGAGGUAAUGGCUCACCAAGGCGACGACGGGUAGCCGGCCUGAGAGGGUGACCGGCCACACUGGGACUGAGACACGGCCCAGACUCCUACGGGAGGCAGCAGUGGGGAAUAUUGCACAAUGGGCGAAAGCCUGAUGCAGCGACGCCGCGUGAGGGAUGACGGCCUUCGGGUUGUAAACCUCUUUCAGUAGGGAAGAAGCGAAAGUGACGGUACCUGCAGAAGAAGCACCGGCUAACUACGUGCCAGCAGCCGCGGUAAUACGUAGGGUGCGAGCGUUAUCCGGAAUUAUUGGGCGUAAAGAGCUCGUAGGCGGUUUGUCGCGUCUGUCGUGAAAGUCCGGGGCUUAACCCCGGAUCUGCGGUGGGUACGGGCAGACUAGAGUGCAGUAGGGGAGACUGGAAUUCCUGGUGUAGCGGUGGAAUGCGCAGAUAUCAGGAGGAACACCGAUGGCGAA
This 644-nucleotide ribosomal RNA is filed under the name Micrococcus sp. YIM 65738. RNAcentral describes it as "bacterial SSU rRNA". It matches the Rfam family "Bacterial small subunit ribosomal RNA", at positions 61 to 719 of the family's 1533-position model. The record is from RNAcentral. Lineage: Bacteria; Bacillati; Actinomycetota; Actinomycetes; Micrococcales; Micrococcaceae.